GUGAAUAUUUUGUUUUACAGUCCCUAUUUCUUGAUCUGCUCACUGUAUAUUUGAAGGAGCUCAUACUUUUCUUCUACUUAUCAUCAUACUUUACUUGCUUGGGUAAAAAAGAGUAAUAGAUAUACCCUUUCUAUCCCACAUCUUCGUGGUCACAUAUGAAUUUUGAAUGAGAUAUGAUUUAUUUUAGUCUCCAUUUCUAUUGUACGCGGAGUAAAAAUUCUUUAAUUAUCGCUUCGCAAUUUGGUUAAUCAAUAUCUAAUCUGUUUGUCUUAUAUUGAACUUUAUCAAGAAAUGAUCUUCACUUUUUCUACUCGUCAGGCUCAUGCUGCUUUCCCGCGGAUGGUUUAACAUCUUCAUGAGGAUGAUCUUAGUGUGAAGACAAGCUUGCCGAAACACUUUGAAAUCCAUUGCUCCCUUGAUGGAAAUUGAUGGAAUAACUGCUGUUUUCAACAAUCAUUGAUUUAGUUUGGACCAUCAGUAUGUACCCAUUGAUUUGAAUAGUCCUUAAUGGUUAUUCAUGAGAAAUUUAUAUUAAGUUGCCUUCAAUUUUUAGAGGCGACUAUGAAGACUUUCUUCGAGAACUUGCAAGGCAGCUAACUCAAAAUUUUGCUGCCCGAGUAGAUAGGUACAUGACAUCAAUAAUACAGGCAUUUGAUGCUCCUUCGCCAGUUGUCCAGGCAAAUGCGGUUUGUUUAUGCAGCAGCGUGCUCUCUCUCCGAUGAUAUUACUACCAUCAGGUUUUCGGGGAUGCUGGUUGGCAAAAUAAGUCGUUCAACGGAUGCAAUUGUUAGAGCAACUUGUUCUUCAGCUCCAGGCUUGUUGCUCAACUCAUCAAACACAAGCUCAUGGAAAGACAUUUGAUUUGAUCGAGCUGAUUCAUCGCAUAGAGGACAUGAAGCAGAAUCUGCUAGGAGAUCAUGAUUCACGAUUAG
Long non-coding RNA from Solanum tuberosum (potato), 932 nucleotides. RefSeq lists it as uncharacterized. Lineage: Eukaryota; Viridiplantae; Streptophyta; Magnoliopsida; Solanales; Solanaceae. The transcript is spliced from 4 exons. The record is from RefSeq and is a predicted model, not a curated record.